Molecule: long non-coding RNA, 1828 nt
Organism: Hylaeus volcanicus
Lineage: Eukaryota; Metazoa; Arthropoda; Insecta; Hymenoptera; Colletidae
Exons: 17
Source: RefSeq, a predicted model, not a curated record
AGGUAAAAUGAUGAUCUACAAACUAUUUUCAAUAAAUAGUUUUUCUACUUUUUUUCCAAGAAAACUAUUGUAAACGUCAAAAGAGAAUUUAUUCGCAUUAAGAAAACGGUAAUGACUUUCUAAUGAUGCGUUUUUAUGUAAAGCAAAUCAUCUGUGCUCUCAAAUUUUGUGAUAAAAGAGUACAAAAAUAAACAAGUUGUCAUUAAAACUUUUUUGUGUUGAUAAUUCGAAGUACAUAUAAAAAGGAUCCUUUAAUAAUUCAGUUAAAAAUUCAUUUAAUAAGUCAAUGAACAAAAGUGAUUGGAAUGAGAAAGGAGCAAAUUAAAUUUAUAUAAAAUCUAAAGUACGAAUGGCUCAUUUAAUUGUUGCACUUCCCUGUGUAAAUCAAAACACAAAAGUUUUCGAUGCUGUAAAGAGAGAAAAUGAAUUUUUAUGUCAAAGAUUAAAUGUUUAUGAAACAAUAGAGUAUCAGUGUGCCCAUGUCGUACAUGGUUGUCACGCCCGAAACAGUGAAGAUAUGAAAUUGCCUGAGAAAGACAAGAAUGUGUAUGAACUCACCCGUACAUGUGAUUAUUGUGUGUAUUCUGCCUCCUACUGGAUGUAUAUUGAUACCAACUCAAUCUCAACAGAAAGAGAUUUUUCGCCACCUCAUCAAAAAGAUGCACUCUUUCGAUCGAUGAUAUCGUCUUGUACGACUGAGAAAGUAUUUUCAACUCUAAAAAAACAAGUAUAUAAUAAAUUCACUGAAGAAUAUAGAGCUUUUACGCCAAUACGGUCACAUGCUGCAUUUCUUUUGGGAGUACCAAUACAGCUUCCUCCUGAUCUUCUUCUUAAAUUGUUAGAUAUUGAGUGCUGCACAGCUGAGAAUGUAGGGCGUUCGAAUCAAGUUCAGGAUGUAAGAGUUUUAUUUCGACCUUGAAAAAAAAAAAACGACAGUGUUCCGUGUGAAAAAAGAAAAGAGACAGAAAUUUAUUCAAUUAUUUUUUUUUUCAAGUGCCAACAAGACGCUAGUAACUUUUAUAAGUCAUACCACGGAGUCUAUUUUCAACAAUUGUAUAAUAAUUAUCUUAUUUUAUUUGGAGAACAAAAGAAUUAUGACAUUCGCAGCCUACCAGGGUGUUGCUACAUUGUUUAUUUAUUAUCUAUAAAGUAUAAGGUUAUAGAUACUUCUGGACUCGAUACGGCGUUAAACAAUCACAAACUGAACUCAUUCAAUAUAGUUCCUAAAAAUUUAGCGGUUGAAAAUAUCAAAUUUGUUUCGACUUGCCCUGUAUGCAAUGAACGAGUGGAUCUUUCUGCCUUCGGUAAUCGGAUUUAGUGAACUGUUUUUUUUUUUAAAAUUCAUCAACUACGUUAUUUAUUUCAAAAAAUGGAUGAUAAAGUUUUGGCAAUGCCAACUUGUUAUUUUAGUCUACAAUAUGUUUUUAAGGCAUUUUAACGCGAUGUGGAGCGUGGAUGAGUUACUACCCUGAAAAUGGUACAUAUAUUCAUAGCUGUGUCGUAUGUCGUAGAAUUUAUAAAAGACUUUGUUUAACGAAUUUUCGUGAAAAAAAAAAGCUGGUUGAAAAUGUUCCAAAGUGUUUGGGUCUUGUUUAUAUUAUUCUUUUAAAUGAUUUAACUAGCGCCGUUUUAUCAAACGUAACAUGAGCUUGAAGUUCAUUCUUGCACUCUUUUGAAAAAAAAUGUACAGAACGUGAAGAAUCACGAAGAUAUGUCAAACAAAAAUUUGAUAGAUUCAACUCAAGAAAAUACACUUAUUCUGCAGGAGAAAAGACAGUGUGUGUCUUGUAACGAUUUACAAGAAACAUGGAUUUGUUUGAUUUGUGGU